Molecule: ribosomal RNA, 254 nt
Filed under: uncultured bacterium
Lineage: Bacteria
Description: partial 16S ribosomal RNA
Rfam family: Bacterial small subunit ribosomal RNA
Source: RNAcentral
UACGUAGGGUGCGAGCGUUGUCCGGAAUUAUUGGGCGUAAAGAGCUCGUAGGCGGUGUGUCACGUCGUUCGUGAAAACCUGCAGCUUAACUGUGGGCGUGCGGUCGAUACGGGCAUCACUGGAGUUCGGCAGGGGAGACUGGAAUUCCUGGUGUAGCGGUGAAAUGCGCAGAUAUCAGGAAGAACACCCGUGGCGAAGGCGGCUCUCUGGAACGCAACUGACGCUGAGACGCGAAAGCGUGGGGAGCAAACAGG